ACCGUGGUGCAACGGAUAGCACGUAAGCCCUCCGAAGCUAAAAUUGUGAGUUCGAUUCUCGCUGAGGGUA
This 70-nucleotide transfer RNA is filed under the name Neobacillus sp. PS3-40. Its description in RNAcentral is "tRNA-Arg". The record is from RNAcentral. Lineage: Bacteria; Bacillati; Bacillota; Bacilli; Caryophanales; Bacillaceae.